GGGCCCGUAGCUCAGCUAGGUAGAGCACCUGGCUUUUAACCAGAUGGUCCGGGGUUCGAAUCCCCGCGGGCCCG
Molecule: transfer RNA, 74 nt
Filed under: Methanomassiliicoccales archaeon
Lineage: Archaea; Methanobacteriati; Thermoplasmatota; Thermoplasmata; Methanomassiliicoccales
Description: tRNA-Lys
Rfam family: tRNA
About the family: Transfer RNA (tRNA) molecules are approximately 80 nucleotides in length. Their secondary structure includes four short double-helical elements and three loops (D, anti-codon, and T loops).
Source: RNAcentral